Tripterygium wilfordii is the source of this 1394-nucleotide long non-coding RNA. RefSeq lists it as uncharacterized. Lineage: Eukaryota; Viridiplantae; Streptophyta; Magnoliopsida; Celastrales; Celastraceae. The record is from RefSeq and is a predicted model, not a curated record. The transcript has 4 exons.
CAAGAAGUUUCCCGAUUUCUACCUUCCAUCUUCGCCACAACAAGUCACUCUAGACUCUAGCUCUCUGUCUGUUGCGAUUGUUUCAAAAUGCAUAGCAAUGGAGCUCCAUCCGAGUUUCUGCUUUUUGAGAGGAGCAUCGAUUACUUCAAAAAGACGUUUCUGUCAGGAUACAUUGUCAUAUGAAGCCAUUAAACCAUGAAUUUUCAUCUUCAUACCUUCCUGCUUAAAGAAUUGGAUUUCUGGCCAUAACUAGAGGAGAGUGUGAGAGGAAGUCGGACUUUGGAUAUCAGCGAUUUGUUCUCUGACUGAAAGAAGCCUGCUGUUCCAUGAAGAUGCUGCCUUUUGGCAUGUUACAGGAGGAAGAAACAAACUAUCACCCACCAAAGAAAACAGCUAUUCAGAUAAGGCAUGGGGAUUUUUGUGAGCAGAUAAAGCUUGGAAUUCAAUUUGAGACCGCGUGGAUACUGAUUUUGGUAUGAUUUUAUACUCAAAAACACUAGAGCAAUUGAAAAACUAUAGUAUGUUUGAAAGAUAUUAGUUGAGAUCACUGGUGGACGUGCAGAGAGGUUUUAAAAAACAAAAUCUGAACAUUCAUAAAGCAAUUAAUCACUUUAUUCAACUUUCCAAAAGGCAGAAGGAAAUGUUGCGCGAAGGGAGAGAAACCUUUUAAAAAUAUAUAAAAAGACUAGCGGGUAAAAGAAGUUUUUACCACUCGUACCUUUUUUGUCUACUUUUUCAUUGAAAAAAAAAGAGAGGUACCAUGCAGUGAAUUUAAUUGACAUUGCUAAUUGAUCUUCUUGGUUUUCAAAUUGGCUAAACCAUACUUUAUACCUUUAAAGUUACACGUUUUUCUCGUUUCUGUCUUUAAAAUUUAAAAUUUACCCUAAAUACCCUUAAUGUUACAGAAACAUAUCCAAAUCUAUCCUCAUUUCACUGUGCCGACAAGGGAGAGUUGGAAAUUGCACGUGUCAACCGGAGUUACACUGUGGCAGAACUCUCUAGUUUUUCUAAUUUGAUACUCAGACCUUUAAUCAAAUAUGAAUUACUUAAUCCCUUAAUAAACUAAAGGACAAGACAUAGGAUGAAUUUUGAUUUGCUCAGGGGGUUUGAUCGUCGAAUUAAGAAACCGAAGGGAUAAAUUGGCAAAAGCAAUAACAUUCAGAGGGUGUCUGCGAAUUUUACCAAAAGCCAUCUUUUUCAUGGUAAACAAAAUCAAAUCAUCUUUAGAUCUUUUUGGGGAAUAGAUUCGAGAUUUUGUUGUUGGUCAUGCUCUAACAAUACCAUCAUUAGUAGGUCAAUUUUCCAAAGCAAGAUGGGAAUUGGCAAGGGGAGAAUUGCAAGUAUCCCUCAUUUUACGUUAUAUUUGUUUCGAUUUCGCAAGCACUCCAGCUAGA